AGCCGGCGAUGUCCGAAUGGGGAAACCCAGUGCAAUUCGUUGCACUAUCGUUAACUGAAUACAUAGGUUAACGAGGCGAACCGGGGGAACUGAAACAUCUAAGUACCCCGAGGAAAAGAAAUCAACCGAGAUUCCCCCAGUAGCGGCGAGCGAACGGGGAGCAGCCCAGAGUCUGAAUCAGCUUGUGUGUUAGUGGAACGGUCUGGAAAGUCCGACGGUACAGGGUGAUAGUCCCGUACACCAAAAUGCACAGGUUGUGAACUCGAAGAGUAGGGCGGGACACGUGGUAUCCUGUCUGAAUAUGGGGGGACCAUCCUCCAAGGCUAAAUACUCCUGACUGACCGAUAGUGAACCAGUACCGUGAGGGAAAGGCGAAAAGAACCCCGGCGAGGGGAGUGAAAAAGAACCUGAAACCGUGUACGUACAAGCAGUGGGAGCCUCUUUAUGGGGUGACUGCGUACCUUUUGUAUAAUGGGUCAGCGACUUAUAUUCUGUAGCAAGGUUAACCGUAUAGGGGAGCCGCAGGGAAACCGAGUCUUAACUGGGCGUUAAGUUGCAGGGUAUAGACCCGAAACCCGGUGAUCUAGCCAUGGGCAGGUUGAAGGUUGGGUAACACUAACUGGAGGACCGAACCGACUAAUGUUGAAAAAUUAGCGGAUGACUUGUGGCUGGGGGUGAAAGGCCAAUCAAACCGGGAGAUAGCUGGUUCUCCCCGAAAGCUAUUUAGGUAGCGCCUCGUGAACUCAUCUUCGGGGGUAGAGCACUGUUUCGGCUAGGGGGUCAUCCCGACUUACCAACCCGAUGCAAACUACGAAUACCGAAGAAUGUUAUCACGGGAGACACACGGCGGGUGCUAACGUCCGUCGUGAAGAGGGAAACAACCCAGACCGCCAGCUAAGGUCCCAAAGUCAUGGUUAAGUGGGAAACGAUGUGGGAAGGCACAGACAGCCAGGAUGUUGGCUUAGAAGCAGCCAUCAUUUAAAGAAAGCGUAAUAGCUCACUGGUCGAGUCGGCCUGCGCGGAAGAUGUAACGGGGCUAAACCAUGCACCGAAGCUGCGGCAGCGACGCUUAUGCGUUGUUGGGUAGGGGAGCGUUCUGUAAGCCUGCGAAGGUGACCUGUGAGGGUUGCUGGAGGUAUCAGAAGUGCGAAUGCUGACAUAAGUAACGAUAAAGCGGGUGAAAAGCCCGCUCGCCGGAAGACCAAGGGUUCCUGUCCAACGUUAAUCGGGGCAGGGUGAGUCGACCCCUAAGGCGAGGCCGAAAGGCGUAGUCGAUGGGAAACAGGUUAAUAUUCCUGUACUUGGUGUUACUGCGAAGGGGGGACGGAGAAGGCUAUGUUAGCCGGGCGACGGUUGUCCCGGUUUAAGCAUGUAGGCGGAGGUUCCAGGUAAAUCCGGUACCUUUUAACGCUGAGGUGUGAUGACGAGGCACUACGGUGCUGAAGUAACAAAUGCCCUGCUUCCAGGAAAAGCCUCUAAGCAUCAGGUAACAUUAAAUCGUACCCCAAACCGACACAGGUGGUCAGGUAGAGAAUACCAAGGCGCUUGAGAGAACUCGGGUGAAGGAACUAGGCAAAAUGGUGCCGUAACUUCGGGAGAAGGCACGCUGAUAUGUAGGUGAAGUCCCUGCGGAUGGAGCUGAAAUCAGUCGAAGAUACCAGCUGGCUGCAACUGUUUAUUAAAAACACAGCACUGUGCAAACACGAAAGUGGACGUAUACGGUGUGACGCCUGCCCGGUGCCGGAAGGUUAAUUGAUGGGGUUAUCCGUAAGGAGAAGCUCUUGAUCGAAGCCCCGGUAAACGGCGGCCGUAACUAUAACGGUCCUAAGGUAGCGAAAUUCCUUGUCGGGUAAGUUCCGACCUGCACGAAUGGCGUAAUGAUGGCCAGGCUGUCUCCACCCGAGACUCAGUGAAAUUGAACUCGCUGUGAAGAUGCAGUGUACCCGCGGCAAGACGGAAAGACCCCGUGAACCUUUACUAUAGCUUGACACUGAACAUUGAGCCUUGAUGUGUAGGAUAGGUGGGAGGCUUUGAAGCGUGGACGCCAGUCUGCGUGGAGCCAACCUUGAAAUACCACCCUUUAAUGUUUGAUGUUCUAACGUAGACCCCUAAUCGGGGUUGCGGACAGUGUCUGGUGGGUAGUUUGACUGGGGCGGUCUCCUCCCAAAGAGUAACGGAGGAGCACGAAGGUUAGCUAAUCCUGGUCGGACAUCAGGAGGUUAGUGCAAUGGCAUAAGCUAGCUUGACUGCGAGCGUGACGGCGCGAGCAGGUGCGAAAGCAGGUCAUAGUGAUCCGGUGGUUCUGAAUGGAAGGGCCAUCGCUCAACGGAUAAAAGGUACUCCGGGGAUAACAGGCUGAUACCGCCCAAGAGUUCAUAUCGACGGCGGUGUUUGGCACCUCGAUGUCGGCUCAUCACAUCCUGGGGCUGAAGUAGGUCCCAAGGGUAUGGCUGUUCGCCAUUUAAAGUGGUACGCGAGCUGGGUUUAGAACGUCGUGAGACAGUUCGGUCCCUAUCUGCCGUGGGCGCUGGAGAAUUGAGGGGGGCUGCUCCUAGUACGAGAGGACCGGAGUGGACGCAUCACUGGUGUUCGGGUUGUCAUGCCAAUGGCAUUGCCCGGUAGCUAAAUGCGGAAGAGAUAAGUGCUGAAAGCAUCUAAGCACGAAACUUGCCCCGAGAUGAGUUCUCCCUGAGACUUUAAGUCUCCUGAAGGAACGUUGAAGACGACGACGUUGAUAGGCCGGGUGUGUAAGCGCAGCGAUGCGUUGAGCUAACCGGUACUAAUGAACCGUGAGGCUUAACCUUACAACGCCGAAG
RNAcentral lists this ribosomal RNA (2816 nucleotides) under Klebsiella sp. G-Nf4. Its description in RNAcentral is "bacterial LSU rRNA". It matches the Rfam family "Bacterial large subunit ribosomal RNA". The record is from RNAcentral. Lineage: Bacteria; Pseudomonadati; Pseudomonadota; Gammaproteobacteria; Enterobacterales; Enterobacteriaceae.